This is a long non-coding RNA of Esox lucius (northern pike), 325 nucleotides long. RefSeq lists it as uncharacterized. The record is from RefSeq and is a predicted model, not a curated record. The transcript has 3 exons. NCBI's taxonomy places the organism in Eukaryota, Metazoa, Chordata, Actinopteri, Esociformes, Esocidae.
UGCAAGUUGCAUGGUGACGCAAAUCCGUCUUUGUGCUCAUAAUAAGAAGGGGAAAUCUAUUCCCCUCUAAAACGAAAACACAAUUAACUUCAGAGGCGAAACUUAAUCUGUAUUCGAUACUUCACCAUUUCUCAACAGAAAGCAGAACAUACAGUCAUCAUUGCUUCCUGACCCAGACUAUUGUGACAUCAUGAUAAUGCACUUCAUUUUAUCACAGAGUUGAAGAUGGAGGCAAGACUUCCUCAUUGGUAUAUGCACCAGGCCAUUCUGCUCCCAACCAGGAAAUGACUUGGAUCAAGGCAUGUGGGGGCACACUCUCUCACCU